This 695-nucleotide long non-coding RNA is filed under the name Dermacentor andersoni. RNAcentral's name for it is "uncharacterized LOC126529752". Lineage: Eukaryota; Metazoa; Arthropoda; Arachnida; Ixodida; Ixodidae. The record is from RNAcentral.
CCGGUCUCAGCUUAGUAAGCCAUGUCAAAACAAUCCAGCAGCUGAUUUGUUUCUUCGUGCACGACGCUGCGAGUAGGCCAUGUUUUUUGUUUGUGCGACUGGUGUCGGCGUGACGGCGUGGUGAUGUUUGCCUUGUGUGCUGUGUCGAGGUUGCGGUGAUGCAACGCGGCAUACGGAAACAUUGCGUCGAGUGUCUAAUGGCGCUGAAAGUGCCCGAGCAGACUGCGCUGGGGAAUGCCAGCAAGCGGGUGCCGGGAGGCCUAGGAUUUGUCGCCUUCCGAUGUGCUCCCUACUGACACCGAAAAUGUUCUGCCAAGAUCUGCGCAGUGGUUUCAUUGGGAUUCCGGACACCAUCUCAUUUGACAGUUUCACAGGUGCUGAUACUGCUGUACCGACAUGCGCAGAACUUGAUGACGGCGAGAUCAUUCGUCAGGUUUCUGCUGCUCCGCCGGACGAUGACUCCGAGUCGGAAGAUGACGCACCAUGUGCUACGCUGCCGUCGCUUGCGGAGCGUGCACAAGCAGUGACUGUGCUUUCAGCCGCCUAUAGUGACCGUACGACCCUCUCCGAGAUUCAGGCUUAUCUGAUUGCGCGUAAACGGGACAGCGUGCAACGGCGCACUCACGAUUUCUUCAAGCCUACUGCCGAGCCCGAAUAAGUGCGUGGAAAUAAAGGAUUUCAUUUUUUUUUCUUAA